This 505-nucleotide ribosomal RNA is filed under the name uncultured bacterium. Its description in RNAcentral is "partial 16S ribosomal RNA". It matches the Rfam family "Bacterial small subunit ribosomal RNA", at positions 28 to 507 of the family's 1533-position model. The record is from RNAcentral.
GACGAACGCUGGCGGCGUGCCUAAUACAUACAAGUAGAACGCACAGUUUAUACCGUAGCUUGCUACACCAUAGACUGUGAGUUGCGAACGGGUGAGUAACGCGUAGGUAACCUGCCUGGUAGCGGGGGAUAACUAUUGGAAACGAUAGCUAAUACCGCAUAAUAUUAAUUAUUGCAUGAUAAUUAAUUGAAAGGUGCAAUUGCACCACUACCAGAUGGACCUGCGUUGUAUUAGCUAGUAGGUGAGGUAACGGCUCACCUAGGCGACGAUACAUAGCCGACCUGAGAGGGUGAUCGGCCACACUGGGACUGAGACACGGCCCAGACUCCUACGGGAGGCAGCAGUAGGGAAUCUUCGGCAAUGGACGAAAGUCUGACCGAGCAACGCCGCGUGAGUGAAGAAGGUUUUCGGAUCGUAAAGCUCUGUUGUAAGAGAAGAACGGGUGUGAGAGUGGAAAGCUCACACUGUGACGGUAUCUUACCAGAAAGGGACGGCUAACUACGUG